This 465-nucleotide ribosomal RNA is filed under the name Vreelandella stevensii. Its description in RNAcentral is "partial 16S ribosomal RNA". It matches the Rfam family "Bacterial small subunit ribosomal RNA", at positions 338 to 795 of the family's 1533-position model. The record is from RNAcentral. Lineage: Bacteria; Pseudomonadati; Pseudomonadota; Gammaproteobacteria; Oceanospirillales; Halomonadaceae.
CCUACGGGCGGCUGCAGUGGGGAAUAUUGGACAAUGGGGGGAACCCUGAUCCAGCCAUGCCGCGUGUGUGAAGAAGGCCCUCGGGUUGUAAAGCACUUUCAGUGAGGAAGAACGCCUGGUGGUUAAUACCCAUCAGGAAAGACAUCACUCACAGAAGAAGCACCGGCUAACUCCGUGCCAGCAGCCGCGGUAAUACGGAGGGUGCGAGCGUUAAUCGGAAUUACUGGGCGUAAAGCGCGCGUAGGUGGCUUGAUAUGCCGGUUGUGAAAGCCCCGGGCUCAACCUGGGAACGGCAUCCGGAACUGUCAAGCUAGAGUGCAGGAGAGGAAGGUAGAAUUCCCGGUGUAGCGGUGAAAUGCGUAGAGAUCGGGAGGAAUACCAGUGGCGAAGGCGGCCUUCUGGACUGACACUGACACUGAGGUGCGAAAGCGUGGGUAGCAAACAGGAUUAGAUACCCCGGUAGUC